RNAcentral lists this unclassified non-coding RNA (379 nucleotides) under uncultured Thermoactinomycetaceae bacterium. RNAcentral describes it as "contains 16S-23S intergenic spacer region". The record is from RNAcentral. Lineage: Bacteria; Bacillati; Bacillota; Bacilli; Caryophanales; Thermoactinomycetaceae.
UCCGGCUUUCACCGGCUGUCCCCUUAGAGUGCCCGGCAUUACCCGCUGGCAACUAAGGGCAAGGGUUGCGCUCGUUGCGGGACUGAACCCAACAUCUCACGACACGAGCUGACGACAACCAUGCACCACCUGUCACCGCUGUCCCCGAAGGGAAAGGCGCAUCUCUGCGCCGGUCAGCGGGAUGUCAAGCCCUGGUAAGGUUCUUCGCGUUGCUUCGAAUUAAACCACAUGCUCCACCGCUUGUGCGGGCCCCCGUCAAUUCCUUUGAGUUUCAGCCUUGCGGCCGUACUCCCCAGGCGGAGUGCUUAUUGGGUUUCCUUCGGCACAGAGGGCCUGACGCCCCCAACACCUAGCACUCAUCGUUUACAGCGUGGACUAC